UACGAAGGGGGCUAGCGUUGCUCGGAUUUACCGGGCGUAAAGGGCGCGUAGGCGGACAGUUUAGUCAGAGGUGAAAGCCCAGGGCUCAACCUUGGAAUUGCCUUUGAUACUGGCUGUCUUGAGUACGGGAGAGGUGAGUGGAACUCCGAGUGUAGAGGUGAAAUUCGUAGAUAUUCGCAAGAACACCAGUGGCGAAGGCGGCUCACUGGCCCGAUACUGACGCUGAGGUGCGAAAGCGUGGGGAGCAAACAGGG
This 254-nucleotide ribosomal RNA is filed under the name uncultured bacterium. Its description in RNAcentral is "partial 16S ribosomal RNA". It matches the Rfam family "Bacterial small subunit ribosomal RNA", at positions 524 to 777 of the family's 1533-position model. The record is from RNAcentral.